GUGGGGAAUCUUGCGCAAUGGGCGAAAGCCUGACGCAGCCAUGCCGCGUGAAUGAUGAAGGUCUUAGGAUUGUAAAAUUCUUUCACCGGGGACGAUAAUGACGGUACCCGGAGAAGAAGCCCCGGCUAACUUCGUGCCAGCAGCCGCGGUAAUACGAAGGGGGCUAGCGUUGCUCGGAAUUACUGGGCGUAAAGGGCGCGUAGGCGGACAGCGUAGUCAGAGGUGAAAGCCCAGGGCUCAACCGUGGAAUUGCCUUUGAUACUGGCUGUUUUGAGUGUGGGAGAGGUGAGUGGAACUCCGAGUGUAGAGGUGAAAUUCGUAGAUAUUCGGAAGAACACCAGUGGCGAAGGCGACUCACUGGCCCAAUACUGACGCUGAGGCGCGAAAGCGUGGGGAGCAAACAGGAUUAGAUACCCGGGUAGUCC
This 425-nucleotide ribosomal RNA is filed under the name uncultured bacterium. RNAcentral's name for it is "partial 16S ribosomal RNA". It matches the Rfam family "Bacterial small subunit ribosomal RNA", at positions 354 to 796 of the family's 1533-position model. The record is from RNAcentral.